CCUCAACAUGUUUAACCCCUCAAGGAGUCAUAUAUAUAUGUCCGCCAUAAAUCCGGAAAUCAUAUCAGAGAGCCUUUGGUCGUUUAGUUUAUUCAUUUUUUAAAUCUUUUAAGAAUGUGAUGUUAUUGGCAGAACUAUGAUUGUCUUUGCUGAAUUACUCCACCUACGAUGAUAUACAGGGCUAUUAAGUUAUGACAUUAACGAGAAACAUUCACCUUUCUACAGUAUGUUGAUCUAGAGAUAGUCUUUU
This 250-nucleotide long non-coding RNA is filed under the name Mytilus galloprovincialis (Mediterranean mussel). Lineage: Eukaryota; Metazoa; Mollusca; Bivalvia; Mytilida; Mytilidae. The record is from RNAcentral.